Xenopus laevis (African clawed frog) is the source of this 2193-nucleotide long non-coding RNA. RefSeq lists it as uncharacterized. The transcript is spliced from 4 exons. Lineage: Eukaryota; Metazoa; Chordata; Amphibia; Anura; Pipidae. The record is from RefSeq and is a predicted model, not a curated record.
GUUAUAUUGCCAGCUGCUCAGCGCCUGCCCUAUACCCCCAUCCUUCUCCGCUUGCAAAGGUUUGUCCCUGCCUUACUUUUAGCUUUCAGUACUUUUGAGAUGCCCGAUAAAGUCCCCUCGCCUUUGUAAACUGAUUGUGUGGAGCAGUGAAACAGAUGUAUUCGUAGCCGUGCUGUCUCCUGUGGCUAAACAUGUACAUACACCAUACAUUGCAUCUUCUUAAAUACCAACAUGGAGUGAAUUUCUGCCUGGCCACAGUUUAAGAAGUCAAUGUGCUAAUUGGUCACUGUGAGAAGUAACAACACAAAGCCACUGACGCCCCCAAUUUCAGAAGCCUGUUUCGGCUACAAAACAUCACGUGACAGGCGAAUGGCUUAUUGUUUUUGCUUUAGUCAACAUUGCAGCCGAAGAAAUACAAUACACGCUUCGGGAUUUGAGUCAGUAUGUCCCUAGCGCGUCCCCGUACUUCGCGUCUUGAAGGGGCGUGGUCACGCGUGUAAACUCCAAUGGUGGAACUCGUGGGAAAGUUUUAGGCUGUUGCAAGCAGUUCACGUUGGGGAUAAGAUUUACCAUUAGGAAGCGCGAAAGGAAAAGGAGACCAUUUUCAGCCGUAGAACACAUGAAUGAAACUCAUGCCUCUUGAGUUUUCAGGGUUUGCCAAUUAGAAAUAUUACAGAAGAACAACCUCCCAAAGUGUGCCACCCUCCUCAUGAACCACAUCCAAUGCUCUCCCUUCAGUUGCCCUCCUAUCAAAUACCUGGGCUAAGAGAAAUAUCGCAAAGGAGUUAGUGGCUGCCAUGUUACAUCUGAUGUGCUGGCUCUCCGGGAUUCAUCACUGUCAGUUGCUCACUUUCCUUCUAGGUUGUUAUGGGGGAGCAUAUGAUUGUAGAUUGGGCCCUUUGCAGAGGAGGGACACUUUUAAAAAUCACCAAGCAUGGGUGGUGGUGACUUCCUACCCACGUCUUUGAAGGCCUGGAUCACAACUUUUAUAGAGAUGCUACACGUUACAAUCUGAAAGGAUCUUAAGCUUAUUUAUAUUUUACAGGAAAUGCUUGCUAUAUGUGAGUCUUUGCUGGGCGACAUUGAAGACAUGGUAUUAGAUACAGUCCCAAAGCCUCAUGAUCGCCAGUCUGCAAGACAAAAUGUAGUACCCAGAGCACGGAAAAGAAAUAAAAACAUCAUCCAAGAGGAAUAACCCCCUGCUGAUAGGGCCGCCGAUUAAAGGAGCAGCAGGCGAAUACACAUCUAUCGCCAUGUCAAGCCGGCAUCUAUACCCCUUACUUCUAGUGCGAGGCUCCCUCUGCACCCGACCGCAACUGGCUAGCCGAUACCUUAAUGAGGAAAGUGUGCUCAUGGAUCAGGUAAGUGUACGCGUCCUCUCCGGAUCGCUCCUAUUCAUGUCUCCUUGUCAGCAACCAGGACCGCUGCAGAGGCCAGCCUUGAAUCAUCCGACUUAUCGUGCCACUGUCUGAAGAGAACCUCCUACUCAAUCGGCAAAGCGCGGGUGGUAUAACCACUUCCUAACUCCCGAUCUUCUAUGGAGGACUCGCUGGACACGCUAUGCCCCUGGGUUCCGUUCAGCGAUCCAUUGUAUCGGAAACACACUGCACCAGUCUCCUAGGUAUUAGGAGGCACACAUCCCCGGUAACAUGCUGCUCAAACUUACGUCAGGGGAGCCAAGCACCAUGGGUGAGCCUAGCUCGACUUAGGCCGACCUUCUGUUACUACUCCUCAAUCAGCCUUCCCUGUUUUCGCCAGCGAACCAUGAAAGAAAGAAAAAAACGUUAAAAACAUAAGAACUCGUAGUAUUGCCAUAGCCCAUUCGUUUUAGAAAAUCAGUUACACAAUAUCUUUGACAUCAAAUCAGUACUUGUAACAGUUACAAAUGUUCCAUCUUACAAUGUAUCUUUAUGUUGCAGACCUACUAAGGAGAAAAUACACGGACAGCGUUAAGACUCUGGCUAUUGCUUCUGUGCCAACGCGCCCAAAAAAAAAGAAAGCAAGCGGUCCGCGGAAUCAAGUUCCGAAAAUGCCACAAGGGCUGUCCUGCAAUCAAAAAAGUGAAAAAAUAAAAAAUCAAAAAUAACCAAAAAAUGCAAAUAUGAUAAAAUACAAAAUCAAAAAAAUCAAAAAAAUUUGAUGUUGUAUGUCCUAUGUUUGUUCAAGACAUGAUCUGUAUUAGGCCAGAGCCGU